Molecule: long non-coding RNA, 1212 nt
Organism: Drosophila virilis
Lineage: Eukaryota; Metazoa; Arthropoda; Insecta; Diptera; Drosophilidae
Source: RefSeq, a predicted model, not a curated record
CAAACAGUUUACAGCUGCGUUUAGCUGAUCUUAAAUUGAACUAUUAGUUAUUUACAAUUUGUGUUUAUUAUUUAUGUGCAUAGCUAACUGAUUUAUAUAUGUUGUAGACUUUUUAUUUCAAUUAAAGUCUAGGCAAGUGGGAAGUUUUGUUUUCAAUUGCUUUUUCUUUUGUUCUUUUAAUCGACUCAAUUGGUUUAUAAAUUAAACGUUUGAUUUAAUUUAAUAAACCAACUAAAUUCCCUCAAUUACUUGAACAUGCAGCACAGUGUGUGGUCCCAACCUUCAACGAGGAGCCCAAGUUAAAGGCAAUAAGCAUGUCAACAGCAAUUUUUGCAUGUUAAACAAAUGCAAUUACCCUUAGUCGAAGCCAAAAAAAGAAAAAAAAAGAACAUUGUCUGUACUUCCCUUUGACUGCAACAAGAAGAAAAGAAACAAAUAAUUUACGUGUAAAUUAAAUAAAAAGGCAAAGUCAAAGCGCGGCCAACAAAUUGCCGCAACAGCCGACGACAGCACAAAUCGAAUGCUGCACAAAACGAUCAACGAUAAAGAUGUACAAAAAAGAGAGACAGAUAAAGAUUGAGAUCGAUAAAGCCUUGCAUUUAACUGCAUACCAAACAAAAGCAACAACAGCUGAAAAUCAAGUUACGUCUUCGAGUUUGCUGAUGGAGAAUUGAAACACAUUGGGGCAAGAGUUAUGGAUAUCUGCAAAAAGUACUAAGCCCAAUCAGCGGAAGUAAACUUGGUCAGCAAAUUGUGCAUUGUUCGCUUCAACAUAGCAAACUAGCUCGUGUUGCAUGUCGCACACGCCCACUUUGUCAGCGGCGCGUCAAGUUGAAGGCCGAUCGGGCAAAAAACAAAAGGCAGAAAACACAAUGAAAAUUGUUGAAAUUAAUUACAGGUAGGCAGUAGGUGAGACACGUUCGAUGGCUCUGCCACUUCAUGGUUUUGAUUCUAUUGCCAUUUUCGGGCAAUUAACACACAAGGGAAGACACGAGUUUGAACUUGUGGCGAAUUUCUGGCUGGUGCUCCAAAAUAUAUGGACUGUAAAAUUAUAGUGUGCGCGCCUGAUAGUUAAAGCAGUAAUUAAUUUAAAAAAAAGCUAGUUAUUAAUGUGCAUUUGAUUGUUUGACCAAAGUUGUUAAUCGGUAUUGAAAAGCAAAUUAAUCUUCAUUAGAAAUUUUAAGAGAUUUUUUAUGUGUGUGUAAACGUACA